Molecule: ribosomal RNA, 253 nt
Filed under: uncultured bacterium
Lineage: Bacteria
Description: partial 16S ribosomal RNA
Rfam family: Bacterial small subunit ribosomal RNA
Source: RNAcentral
UACGUAGGGUGCAAGCGUUACUCGGAAUCACUGGGCGUAAAGCGCACGUAGGCGGACUCGUAGGUCAGUUGUGAAAUACCUGGGCUCAACCCAGGAACUGCAGCUGAAACCGCUUGUCUUGAAUACCUGAGAGGGUGGGGGAAUACCUGGUGGAGAAGUGAAAUUCGUAGAGAUCAGGUGGAACACCGGAGGCGAAGGCGCCUGCCUGGCAGUGUAUUGACGCUGAGGUGCGAAAGUGCGGGGAGCAAACAGG